UUUUUUUUUUUUUUUUUUAAUUAAUUAAUUAGUUAAUUAAACAACAAAAAUGAUAAUAAUAAAACAAUAAUAAUUAAUGAUGAAAACAACUUAAUUAACAUUAGAUAAAAAUAAACUAAAAACAACAAAAAUAAACAAAUUUCCAUUUUUCAUUUUCAUUUUUUCUUUUCUUUUGUUUUCGAAAUAACCUAACCAAAAAAUAAAUAAAGUCAAAAGAUUGAAUUUAAAAAGAAAUAAACAUAUUUUGUGAACAAUUUUCUUCCCUUUCCUUUUUUUCUUUUUCCAAGACAAAAAUUGAAUUUUAAAACAACUAAAACAUAUUUUCUUUUCUUUUUAGAAAUUCUACAUUAAAAAGACUAAAAAUAAUAAAAAAAAUAAAACAAGUAAACGACUAAAGAAAAUAAAAAGAAUAACUAAGAUAAACUAGCAUGAACAUAAAUAAAUAAAUCGUACCAAAAUUUGGUGUCUACAGUUUGCCCCUCUUUGUCUGAGUUUUGGAAAAACUUGAGACAAAGAAGUAGACACCAAACACUUACCUGUGUCAUUCGGUCACGAACGACUCGAACGACUGCCAUUUUUUGAAAAUGAGGACUGACCUCUUUUGAAAGAAAAAUUUAACAAGGAAUUGACUGAGACAAGAAAUUUAAAGCGGGACUGACCCGAACAAGAAUUUAAACGGGACUGAUCCGAACAGAAAUUUAAACGGGACUGACCCGGACAGGAAAUUAAAAUUGGGACUGACUAGAGAAGGAAAUUUAAAUCAUGGGACUAGCCCGCAUAAGCUUUAAUCGCGGGACUGACCCGAAUAAGCUUUGAAUCGCGGGACUGACCCGAACAGGCUUUGAAUUGUGGGACUGACCCGCAUAAGCUUUGAAUCGUGGGACUGACCCGAAUAAGCUUUUGAUCAUGGGACUGACCCGUAUAAGCUUUUGAUCAUGGGACUGACCCGAAUAAGCUUUUGAUCAUGGGACUGACCCGAAUAAUGCUUUUGAUCGUGGGACUGACCCGAAAAUGCUUUUGGUCAUGGGACUGACCCGAAAAUCCUUUUUGAUCGUGGGACUGACCCGAAAAUGCUUUUGAUCAUGGGACUGAC
This 1093-nucleotide long non-coding RNA is filed under the name Coffea arabica (coffee). RNAcentral describes it as "long non-coding RNA (CARA_LNC008372)". Lineage: Eukaryota; Viridiplantae; Streptophyta; Magnoliopsida; Gentianales; Rubiaceae. The record is from RNAcentral.